RNAcentral lists this non-coding RNA (110 nucleotides) under Neisseria bacilliformis. RNAcentral describes it as "TPP sequence". It matches the Rfam family "TPP riboswitch aptamer (THI element)". Rfam says of the family: Vitamin B(1) in its active form thiamin pyrophosphate (TPP) is an essential coenzyme that is synthesised by coupling of pyrimidine and thiazole moieties in bacteria. The record is from RNAcentral. RNAcentral also lists the same sequence under 1 other name. Lineage: Bacteria; Pseudomonadati; Pseudomonadota; Betaproteobacteria; Neisseriales; Neisseriaceae.
UCAUUCUUGUCGGAGUGCGCCGCCUGUUGUGCGGGGCUGAGACCGCGAAACGUGGAAUCCGUUGAACCUGUCGGGGUCGUGCCUGCGUAGGGAGCAAGUGUCAAACGCCU